RNAcentral lists this ribosomal RNA (253 nucleotides) under uncultured bacterium. Its description in RNAcentral is "partial 16S ribosomal RNA". It matches the Rfam family "Bacterial small subunit ribosomal RNA", at positions 524 to 776 of the family's 1533-position model. The record is from RNAcentral.
UACAGGGGGUGCAAACGUUGCUCGGAAUCAUUGGGCGUAAAGCGCACGUAGGCGGAUAGAUGUGUCAUAGGUGAAAUCCCCGGGCUUAACCUGGGAACUGCCUGUGAAACUGUGUAUCUAGAAUAUAGGAGAGGGAAGUGGAAUUUCCGGUGUAGCGGUGAAAUGCGUAGAUAUCGGAAAGAACACCAGUGGCGAAGGCGACUUCCUGGUCUAAUAUUGACGCUGAGGUGCGAAAGCGUGGGGAGCAAACGGG